AGCGUGAAAGCCCUUAAGCCCGCCCCUGAUUCCAAUUCCCAACCAACCACUCACAUCAUGGCGGCGGCUACUGCUUCGUCGUCGGCGGCGGCGGCGGCGGUGCUAUCCCUCAGCCCAGCGCCCACCACUAGUUCAUUCCUCCGCACCCAGGUCCCCGCUCACCGCCUCCCCACCCUGAGAUGCCGCCGCGCUCGGACCCUCACCGCCGCGGCGGGGGGCAGCGGCUCGCCGUCGUCCGCCGUCUUCCACGGCGAGUGCUUCGUGGUGGGGGACAACAUCGACACCGACCAGAUCAUCCCCGCCGAGCACCUCACCCUGAUGCCGUCCAAGCCCGACGAGUACCGCAAGCUCGGCUCCUUCGCCUUCGCCGGCCUCCCCUCCGCGGCCUACCCGACGCCGUUCGUCGCCCCAGGCGAGGAGUCCUCCCGCUACACCGUCAUCGUCGGCGGGGACAACUUCGGCUGCGGCUCCUCCCGCGAGCAUGCGCCCGUCUCGCUCGGGGCCGCCGGCGCGCGCGCCGUCGUCGCGGAGAGCUACGCGCGCAUCUUCUUCCGCAACUCCGUGGCCACCGGCGAGGUCUACCCUCUGGAGCUCGCGGACGCUGGAGCAUGGAAGGAGUGCAAGACCGGGGAUGUGGUCACCGUGGACCUUGGUAAUUCCAUCUUUAUUAACCACACCUCCGGCAAGGAGUACCAGCUGAAGCCUAUUGGUGAUGCUGGACCGGUCAUUGAGGCCGGCGGGAUCUUCGCGUAUGCCCGGAAGACCGGAAUGAUUGCAUCGAAAGCUACUGCAUGAGAGUACAGACUAUUGAAAGUUUGAAGCAGUUGAGUUGGGACUAGACCUGUGAUUGUUCUCCUAGCCAGGUGAAUUAUAUCUGCUGUCAGACUAGUUGAGGCCUCUGCAGGCAGAAGUAAAACUGUAUUUGGGAUCAAGAGUUAUUGCACCUCUACUUGCUAUUGUCCAGCAUGUGUACUGCUACUUUUGCAUAGGUUUGUACCAUCAACCGUGUUUCAAAAUAAGUAACAGCGUACUGAGCUACGAUGGAUUGGUUCAUGCGGUCUUGUGUUACAUCUCAUGUAUUACUCUUCUUCGUACAAUUGUACCUUUUUAUUGUAUGUUUGAAUAACAGCUUUAAUGUCAACUUAUGUUUACAACUCUUA
Molecule: RNA transcript, 1160 nt
Organism: Phragmites australis (common reed)
Lineage: Eukaryota; Viridiplantae; Streptophyta; Magnoliopsida; Poales; Poaceae
Gene name: 3-isopropylmalate dehydratase small subunit 1-like
Exons: 3
Source: RefSeq, a predicted model, not a curated record